RNAcentral lists this ribosomal RNA (497 nucleotides) under uncultured bacterium. RNAcentral's name for it is "partial 16S ribosomal RNA". It matches the Rfam family "Bacterial small subunit ribosomal RNA", at positions 28 to 507 of the family's 1533-position model. The record is from RNAcentral.
GAUGAACGCUGGCGGCGUGCCUAAUACAUGCAAGUCGAGCGAACGGACGAGAAGCUUGCUUCUCUGAUGUUAGCGGCGGACGGGUGAGUAACACGUGGAUAACCUACCUAUAAGACUGGGAUAACUUCGGGAAACCGGAGCUAAUACCGGAUAAUAUUUUGAACCGCAUGGUUCAAAAGUGAAAGACGGUCUUGCUGUCACUUAUAGAUGGAUCCGCGCUGCAUUAGCUAGUUGGUAAGGUAACGGCUUACCAAGGCAACGAUGCAUAGCCGACCUGAGAGGGUGAUCGGCCACACGGGAACUGAGACACGGUCGAGACUCCUACGGGAGGCAGCAGUAGGGAAUCUUCCGCGAUGGGCGAAAGCCUGAUGGAGCAACGCCGCGUGAGUGAUGAAGGUCUUCGGAUCGUAAAGCUCUGUUAGUAUGGAAGAACAAAUGUGUAUGUAACUGUGCACAUCUUGACGGUACCUAAUGAGAAAGCCACGGCUAACUACGUG